GCUCUUUAUGUCCAAGCUGAGCUAC
Molecule: microRNA, 25 nt
Filed under: Mus musculus (house mouse)
Lineage: Eukaryota; Metazoa; Chordata; Mammalia; Rodentia; Muridae
Description: mmu-miR-7215-5p
Source: miRBase by way of RNAcentral